AUUGUUAAGCUACUAAGGGUGUACGGUGAAUGCCCUGGCAUCAGCAGGCGAUGAAGGACGUAGCUAGCUGCGAUAAGCCGCGGGAAGCCGCAAGCAGGCCGUGAUCCGCGGAUGUCCGAAUGGGGAAACCCAGGCGAUGAAUGCCGCCUAUCCACAUCUGAAUUCAUAGGGUGUGAGAAGCCCACGCAGGGAAGUGAAACAUCUCAGUACCUGCAGGAAAAGAAAUCAAUCGAGAUUCCCCUAGUAGUGGCGAGCGAAAAGGGAAUAGCCUAAACCAUAGUGAUGUCAAGCCCGUGUGCGUUGUCGCUGUGGUGUUGUAGGGCUCUGUUUGACGGUGAUACGGCGCCGUCGGCAAGUUACAAAUUAGGAUCUUAGUCGAAUGGUCUGGAAAGGCCGGCCAAAGAAGGUGACAGCCCUGUAGGCGACAAGACCCUAACUUGCUGGAUGGAGUUCCUGAGUACCGCGGGGCUCGAGAAACCCUGUGGGAAUCCGGGACGACCACGUUCCAAGGCUAAAUACUCGCUGAUGACCGAUAGCG
This 538-nucleotide ribosomal RNA is filed under the name Nitrospira sp. RNAcentral's name for it is "bacterial LSU rRNA". It matches the Rfam family "Bacterial large subunit ribosomal RNA", at positions 1 to 492 of the family's 2925-position model. Lineage: Bacteria; Pseudomonadati; Nitrospirota; Nitrospiria; Nitrospirales; Nitrospiraceae. The record is from RNAcentral.